CGUAAUGAGUUAAGAGUCUUGAGAUAAAAUCAUUCUGGAUUUAGAGUGGGCUCUGGUGUCCUUGUUAAGAGGAAGAGAGGACACAACGAGGCACAGAGGAGAACACCACGCGGCAAGGGAGGCAGAGGUGACAGUGAGGCACCUGUGAGCCCAGGAAUGCCACUCUUGCCGACGGCCCCUGCAAGCUAGGAGAGAGGCCUGGCUGGCUUCCCUCAGGGUCUCCGGAAGUAAGUAGCCCCACCGACACCUUCAUUUUGGACUUUUGGUCUCCAGAACUGUGGGAGAGUAAGUUUCUGUUGACUUAAGCUCCCCAGUUUGGGGUGAUUUGUUACGGCAGCCCUGGGAGACUAUACGCCACGUCCCUGAGGUCCUCAGCUUUCCACGGUGCCCCCCCCCUCCACAAACAGACCUGUGCUUGAAAGCUCCCGGGACGGAGAGCUCACGACGUCCCAUCUAUGUGAUGGACUGCUUGUUGGAAACUCCUUUCUGGCGUUGUGGGAUCCGGGGAGGCUUCAUGGAAGAGGCAGCACGUGAACUGGGCCUUAAAGGAUGACUAUGAUCAAAACAAGGGGAAACAUGCGGUGGCGCGUGUUCCAGGUGGCGGGGACGCGGCAGGCCCAGGAGUAUGGGCCGUAUAUGCAAACAUUCACUCAAACUCUUCUAGGAAUAUUUACUCGCUAAGCAGCUAGUGGAAUGGAGGAUCCUGAGAAAGAAGAGAUUAACUAUGACACCGAGUGACCCGAGAAAGUCCCUGGGUCAGGGUCCCCAGGACCACUCCUGGUGUGAUUUGCUAGGAGGACUCACAGCUAAGACCCGUCACGGUGCAAAGAUACAGAGCAACAUCGGCGCAGGACAAAGGCUAUGGGAAACCAAGCAAAAGCUUCCCAGGGUCCUCGUCCCGCUGAGUCACACAGGACACGCUUAACUCCUCCAGCGACGUGUCACGACAGCGUGUGUGAAACAUCGUCUGCUAGAGAAGCUCAUUAGAGACCCAGAGCCCAGGGUGUUUCCUGGGGGCUGGUCACAUAGGUAACCCCUGCCUAGAUGUACCAGAUUCUCCGCAGGAGAGCAGGGCUUUCGCAUCAGCCAUGUUGUUUGCGCAAACGAUUUAGGCGCAGCCAGCCCUUCUCAGAGAAUCGUGGGAGCAUUCCCAAAAUCCAAGUUCCCAGACCCCAGCCAAGGGCCAGCCUCGUGAGCAGGCCUUUCAAAGGAUGGCAGUCUCGGGCCUGCUGCGCUAACCCUGUUCCACACACUUGCCAAAGAAGGUGGGAUUUGACCUGGGGGAGUCAAGGAGCCACAAGAGAGGAGGAAACCCUGCCAGGUUGACCCCACCUACCUCUCCAGCCUUCCUCUGAACCUUUGCCUGAGCCCCGGUCAUCCUACACAGAUCUGAGCAGUGGCGACCCCCUUUGUACAGGCAUGCGCCUGCCGCGACGCUAUUGUCACACAGGCCCUGUCACCCUCUCACUGAGUCUGCAACCCCGGGACAGCACCUUCCUGCACCGCAAGAAUCACAUUCCGACUGUAUUCUUGUGUACGAGACUGCCUUCUCAGCUUACUUCUCUCUGUUUCUUCUUUCCCAUCCCUCCCCGCUCCCCCUCUCCACGCUGUGAUAAACAGAGAGCCUUGCAAGCAGGGGUGGGGGCGGCGGGGGUGGGGGGCGCUGAUAAACUCAGCUGCGUGGACUUCCCAUCUCCAUGGGUCAAGGAUGGUGAGGCUCUGGGGCAGGAAUAGACCAGAUGAGCUCCGACAUAUCCCGGGGAUUGACUGCAGGAUUCUCUGAGCUGGAGAAACUCAAAUUCAACGCGGCCACUGAAAUCCCGAGCAAGAAUCACAAGACUGGGAGAUGUUGUCAUCUUACAGAUGGGGAAACUGAGGCUCAAAGGGAGGUGCUGGGAGGCAGAGCCAGGCAACAUCCACGUGGCCUCACUUCUUCCGGACUUCUUCCCUGACACCCACGCUGCCACCCAUAUUCACCCAGGACACGGCUUGUUACAGUGACAUGUGGGGGCUGUCAGCCGGGCCUGGGGUGACAUCGUGACCCCAUACACCAGGGUCACUCCCCAGAGGGGUAGUUGUUUGCUGUAUAACAUGGGGGUGGGUGUGUAACAAUAUCUACCUCUCAGGGUCGUGGGCAGGAUUAGACAUGAUGGAAAAAGCAUGUUGAUGGGAACAUAGAAACAUUUGUGUUUUUUUCUCCUCUCCACCUGUUUUGCUCAAAAUAAAUUAAAAAAAUUUUUAAAGUUA
Long non-coding RNA from Felis catus (domestic cat), 2247 nucleotides. RefSeq lists it as uncharacterized. The record is from RefSeq and is a predicted model, not a curated record. The transcript has 3 exons. NCBI's taxonomy places the organism in Eukaryota, Metazoa, Chordata, Mammalia, Carnivora, Felidae.